RNAcentral lists this ribosomal RNA (666 nucleotides) under uncultured marine eukaryote. RNAcentral describes it as "SSU rRNA". It matches the Rfam family "Eukaryotic small subunit ribosomal RNA", at positions 622 to 1287 of the family's 1831-position model. The record is from RNAcentral.
AAAAGCUCGUAGUUGGACUUCUGGCCUGGGCGACCGGUCGGCGCCCUCGUGGCGUGUGCACUGUCGUCGGCCCGGGUCAUCCUCGUGCGGAUCCGGCCUUCCAUUCAUUUGGCGGGUCGGGGAAGCGCGACGUUUACUGUGAAAAAAUUAGAGUGUUUAAAGCAGGCGAUCGCUGUGAAUACAUUAGCAUGGAAUAAUGAGAUAGGACUUUGGUACUAUUUUGUUGGUUUGCGCACCAAGGUAAUGAUUAAUAGGGAUAGUUGGGGGUAUUCAUAUUCAAUUGUCAGAGGUGAAAUUCUUGGAUUUAUGGAAGAUGAACUUAUGCGAAAGCAUUUACCAAGGAUGUUUUUAUUAAUCAAGAACGAAAGUUAGGGGAUCGAAGAUGAUUAGAUACCAUCGUAGUCUUAACCAUAAACUAUGCCGACUCGGGAUUGGGCGACGUUGCAUUGAUGACUCGCUCAGCACCGUAUGAGAAAUCAAAGUCUUUGGGUUCCGGGGGGAGUAUGGUCGCAAGGCUGAAACUUAAAGGAAUUGACGGAAGGGCACCACCAGGAGUGGAGCCUGCGGCUUAAUUUGACUCAACACGGGAAAACUUACCAGGUCCAGACAUGGUAAGGAUUGACAGAUUGAGAGCUCUUUCUUGAUUCUAUGGGUGGUGGUGCAUGG